GGUCAAGCGAACAAGUGCAUGUGGUGGAUGCCUUGGCGAUCACAGGCGAUGAAGGACGCGGUAGCCUGCGAAAAGUUGUGGGGAGCUGGCAACGAGCUUUGAUCCACAAAUGUCCGAAUGGGGAAACCCGGCCCGUAUGGGUCACCCACAACUGAAUCCAUAGGUUGUGUGGGGCGAACGCGGUGAACUGAAACAUCUAAUUAACCGCAGGAAAAGAAAUCAACCGAGAUUCCCAAAGUAGUGGCGAGCGAAAUGGGAUCAGCCGGUACUCUUUAUUUAUCUUAUUAGCUGAACGCUCUGGAAAGUGCGGCCCGAGCAGGUGAUAGCCCUGUAAGCGAAAAUAGGAGGAAAGAACUAGGGGUACGAGAAGUAGGGCGGGACACGUGAAAUCCUGUCUG
Molecule: non-coding RNA, 398 nt
Filed under: Candidatus Paraburkholderia kirkii UZHbot1
Lineage: Bacteria; Pseudomonadati; Pseudomonadota; Betaproteobacteria; Burkholderiales; Burkholderiaceae
Description: Candidatus Burkholderia kirkii UZHbot1 Bacterial large subunit ribosomal RNA
Rfam family: Bacterial large subunit ribosomal RNA
Source: Rfam by way of RNAcentral